GCGUGAGCCACCAUGCCCAGCCCUCAACAUACGAAUUUUGAGAGGACACAAUUUAACCCAUUACUGAGCACCACAGAAAUUCUCAUGAAAGGUCUGUCAGGACUCCACCAUUUUGACAUGACCCUCGUUUUCCCCCACAAUCCCCCUUCCAGGACCCCAUUGUGAUGUCACAUUUCAGGUCAAAGCAUUACAUGUUAUUCUUAACACCUGCCACUUCUCUCUUCCCACCUCUAUCUGCCUUAUUGAACUUCAUCUUUCCUUCAUUCUCUUCAACUUCCACUUCUUCUUGUAUGGUCCUGUUGAUGCCAUCUUGUUUCCGUCCCCAGACUCAUCAUCUUUACCCUCUGUCAACUGAGUUCCCACCCUGGUUCUCUCUCAAGAUCUUCCUCUCAUAGCUUUCACCCUUGGUAAACAAUGAGGACACAUCUCAAAAAGAAUGAUGUAAUUUAAUUGCCUUGAGUUGGCUGGGCCAUCAUCUAUUAUAAAGUGCUCUUAAAAUUAAAGCUAAUUUAAUUCUGAAGAACUAAGGAUUAAGAAGUUAAGAGCUGGGGUUCUUACAAUAUGGCUUGCAGACUACAAGUGUGAACUGAGGAGGUCCCCAAAGUCACUUCUUACUAAGUUCAGAUAGGUGAUGGAUUGAAAAUAAUCCCAAUAUUCCACAAGCAACAUCAACAUCCCCCACACACCCAGCACCGAGGAAUACCCUCCUCUCUAGAAUGUGAGGCCACUGUGUGGAGGAAGACACCACGGUGCUCUACUGAGCCAUGAAAGUCACGCCUGACCUAAACAGAAGACUACGUCCCCUGGCUAAAAGAGGAAAUAGUUGAAAGCGGUGUAAAUGGCUCUUAUCUGAACCACAAUGAAUUCACAUAUUCAAGUUGGCUUCUUCGGAAAUUUCAGGCCACAAAUGGCAGUGAUGCGACCAGGAGCAGUAACACGUGCCACUUCCAUCCGGACAGAAGGAACCCAGGUCAAGGCUGACAGGAGGAGCAGGAGCCGUCAAUGAGAGCAGACCUCAGAAGCCAACGGAGGUGAGAAGAGCACCAUCCACAGCCCCAUCCUCUGAAUGCUGUGGGAAGAAGUCCACAAAAUACCACCCCUUGGAGUCAGUCAGUAGUAGAGCCCUUGCUGCUGGCUGCAAAUACCCCAUCAGAACAUGUUUGGGGUGAUUCUUGGACCUGGUUUCAAUUUCUUUUCUGCCAGUCAGCAGUUGUGCUUGACUCACAAUUUGUUGCCAUCUCUUGAAUUAAACUCAGGAAACAGGAUAAAGAUCAGAACCACAUUGUAAAAGCUUCCUUAUGGUUCAUUUUUUGCUGAGAUAAAUAAUGAGCAGCUCUGAUCCAUGUCUCUGGAGAGCUCAGAGCACACUACCAGGAGCUCCUAGCCACAGGGUGAGCACAGGU
Molecule: long non-coding RNA, 1403 nt
Filed under: Homo sapiens (human)
Lineage: Eukaryota; Metazoa; Chordata; Mammalia; Primates; Hominidae
Description: non-protein coding FAM170B-AS1:2
Source: RNAcentral